Molecule: ribosomal RNA, 461 nt
Filed under: Sphingomonas sp. '7.5 MW-7'
Lineage: Bacteria; Pseudomonadati; Pseudomonadota; Alphaproteobacteria; Sphingomonadales; Sphingomonadaceae
Description: bacterial SSU rRNA
Rfam family: Bacterial small subunit ribosomal RNA
Source: RNAcentral
UGGAGAUUUGAUCCUGGCUCAGAACGAACGCUGGCGGCAUGCCUAACACAUGCAAGUCGAACGAACCCUUCGGGGUUAGUGGCGCACGGGUGCGUAACGCGUGGGAAUCUGCCCUUGGCUUCGGAAUAACAGUUAGAAAUGACUGCUAAUACCGGAUGAUGUCUUCGGACCAAAGAUUUAUCGGCCAGGGAUGAGCCCGCGUAGGAUUAGGUAGUUGGUGGGGUAAAGGCCUACCAAGCCGACGAUCCUUAGCUGGUCUGAGAGGAUGAUCAGCCACACUGGGACUGAGACACGGCCCAGACUCCUACGGGAGGCAGCAGUGGGGAAUAUUGGACAAUGGGCGCAAGCCUGAUCCAGCAAUGCCGCGUGAGUGAUGAAGGCCUUAGGGUCGUAAAGCUCUUUUACCCGGGAUGAUAAUGACAGUACCGGGAGAAUAAGCUCCGGCUAACUCCGUGCCAGCA